GGUAUCUUCCCUUUGGUGAGGAAUAACACGAGGAAACUUGUGCUAAUACCUCAUAAGUCUUCACGGAGAAAGCUUUAUGCGCCGAAGGAUGAGCCUGCACUUGAUUAGUUUGUUGGUGGGGUAAUGGCCUACCAAGACUUUGAUCUAUAGCUGAUCUGAGAGGAUGAUCAGCCACAUUGGGACUGAGACACGGCCCAAACUCCUACGGGAGGCAGCAGUAGGGAAUAUUGCACAAUGGAGGAAACUCUGAUGCAGCGAUGCCGCGUGAGUGAAGAAGGCCUUUGGGUUGUAAAGCUCUUUCGUCGGGGAAGAAAAUGACUGUACCCGAAUAAGAAGGUCCGGCUAACUUCGUGCCAGCAGCCGCGGUAAUACGAAGGGACCUAGCGUAGUUCGGAAUUACUGGGCUUAAAGAGUUCGUAGGUGGUUAAAAAAGUUGGUGGUGAAAUCCCAGAGCUUAACUCUGGAACUGCCAUCAAAACUUUUUAGCUAGAGUAUGAUAGAGGAAAGCAGAAUUUCUAGUGUAGAGGUGAAAUUCGUAGAUAUUAGAAAGAAUACCAAUUGCGAAGGCAGCUUUCUGGAUCAUUACUGACGCUGAGGAACGAAAGCAUGGGUAGCGAAGAGGAUUAGAUACCCUCGUAGUCCAUGCCGUAAACGAUGUGUGUUAGACGUUGGAAAUUUAUUUUCAGUGUCGCAGCGAAAGCAUUAAACACACCGCCUGGGGAGUACGACCGCAAGGUUAAAACUCAAAUGAAUUGACGGGGACCCGCACAAGUAGUGGAGCAUGUGGUUUAAUUCGAAGAUACGCGCAGAACCUUACCAACACUUGACAUGUUCGUCGCGACUCUAAGAGAUUAGAGUUUUCGGUUCGGCCGGACGAAACACAGGUGCUGCAUGGCUGUCGUCAGCUCGUGUCGUGAGAUGUUGGGUUAAGUCCC
RNAcentral lists this ribosomal RNA (935 nucleotides) under marine metagenome. Its description in RNAcentral is "bacterial SSU rRNA". It matches the Rfam family "Bacterial small subunit ribosomal RNA", at positions 120 to 1088 of the family's 1533-position model. The record is from RNAcentral.